UAGUCAUAUGCUUGUCUCAAAGAUUAAGCCAUGCAUGUCUAAGUAUAAACCAAAUUAUACGGUGAAACUGCGAAUGGCUCAUUAAAUCAGUUAUAGUUUAUUUGAUGAUGGCUUACUACAUGGAUAACUGUGGUAAUUCUAGAGCUAAUACAUGCGUUAAAGCCCCGACUUCUGGAAGGGGUGUAUUUAUUAGAUAAAAAGCCAAUGCGGUCCGCCGCUCCAUUGGUGAUUCAUAAUAACUUGUCGAAUCGUAUGGCCUUGUGCCGGCGAUGCUUCAUUCAAAUAUCUGCCCUAUCAACUUUCGAUGGUAAGGUAUUGGCCUACCAUGGUGAUAACGGGUAACGGGGAAUCAGGGUUCGAUUCCGGAGAGGGAGCCUGAGAAACGGCUACCACAUCCAAGGAAGGCAGCAGGCGCGCAACUUACCCAAUGCCAAUACGGCGAGGUAGUGACAAUAAAUAGCAAUGUAAGACUUCAUAGGGGUCUUAUCAAUUGGAAUGAGUAGAGUUUAAACCUCUCUAUGAGAAACAAUU
Molecule: ribosomal RNA, 531 nt
Filed under: uncultured eukaryote
Lineage: Eukaryota
Description: bacterial SSU rRNA
Rfam family: Eukaryotic small subunit ribosomal RNA
Source: RNAcentral